AGUGAACGCUGGCGGUAGGCCUAACACAUGCAAGUCGAACGGCAGCACAGUAAGAGCUUGCUCUUACGGGUGGCGAGUGGCGGACGGGUGAGGAAUACAUCGGAAUCUACUUUUUCGUGGGGGAUAACGUAGGGAAACUUACGCUAAUACCGCAUACGACCUACGGGUGAAAGCAGGGGAUCUUCGGACCUUGCGCGAUUGAAUGAGCCGAUGUCGGAUUAGCUAGUUGGCGGUGUAAAGGCCCACCAAGGCGACGAUCCGUAGCUGGUCUGAGGGGAUGAUCAGCCACACUGGAACUGAGACACGGUCCAGACUCCUACGGGAGGCAGCAGUGGGGAAUAUUGGACAAUGGGCGCAAGCCUGAUCCAGCCAUACCGCGUGGGUGAAGAAGGCCUUCGGGUUGUAAAGCCCUUUUGUUGGGAAAGAAAAGCAGCAGGUUAAUACCCCGCUGUUCUGACGGUACCCAAAGAAUAAGCACCGGCUAACUUCGUG
This 492-nucleotide ribosomal RNA is filed under the name uncultured bacterium. RNAcentral's name for it is "partial 16S ribosomal RNA". It matches the Rfam family "Bacterial small subunit ribosomal RNA", at positions 29 to 507 of the family's 1533-position model. The record is from RNAcentral.